AACCCAUGGUGAGGGCACCUUCUCAGUAAAUCUUUGUGUCUCUCUCAUGCGUCAUAAAGGGUUUCUAAAUCCAUCUACACAAAACAAGAGAUAUCAUUCCUUAGUUU
Gossypium arboreum is the source of this 107-nucleotide non-coding RNA. NCBI's taxonomy places the organism in Eukaryota, Viridiplantae, Streptophyta, Magnoliopsida, Malvales, Malvaceae. The record is from Rfam.